RNAcentral lists this ribosomal RNA (484 nucleotides) under uncultured bacterium. RNAcentral describes it as "partial 16S ribosomal RNA". It matches the Rfam family "Bacterial small subunit ribosomal RNA", at positions 30 to 507 of the family's 1533-position model. The record is from RNAcentral.
AUUGAACGCUGGCGGCAGGCCUAACACAUGCAAGUCGAGCGGAUGAAGGGAGCUUGCUCCUGGAUUCAGCGGCGGACGGGUGAGUAAUGCCUAGGAAUCUGCCUGGUAGUGGGGGAUAACGUCCGGAAACGGGCGCUAAUACCGCAUACGUCCUGAGGGAGAAAGUGGGGGAUCUUCGGACCUCACGCUAUCAGAUGAGCCUAGGUCGGAUUAGCUAGUUGGUGGGGUAAAGGCCUACCAAGGCGACGAUCCGUAACUGGUCUGAGAGGAUGAUCAGUCACACUGGAAAUGAGACAAGGGCCAGAAUCCUAAGGGAGGGAGCAGUGGGGAAUAUUGGACAAUGGGCGAAAGCCUGAUCCAGCCAUGCCGCGUGUGUGAAGAAGGUCUUCGGAUUGUAAAGCACUUUAAGUUGGGAGGAAGGGCAGUAAGUUAAUACCUUGCUGUUUUGACGUUACCAACAGAAUAGGCACCGGCUAACUUCGUG